This 196-nucleotide small nuclear RNA is filed under the name Drechslerella stenobrocha 248. Its description in RNAcentral is "U2 spliceosomal RNA". It matches the Rfam family "U2 spliceosomal RNA". From Rfam's summary of the family: U2 is a small nuclear RNA (snRNA) component of the spliceosome (involved in pre-mRNA splicing). Complementary binding between U2 snRNA (in an area lying towards the 5' end but 3' to hairpin I) and the branchpoint sequence (BPS) of the intron results the bulging out of an unpaired adenosine, on the BPS, which initiates a nucleophilic attack at the intronic 5' splice site, thus starting the first of two transesterification reactions that mediate splicing. Lineage: Eukaryota; Fungi; Ascomycota; Orbiliomycetes; Orbiliales; Orbiliaceae. The record is from Rfam by way of RNAcentral.
UCAGCUUCCUUUGCCAUCAGGCUUAGAUCAAUAUGUAGUAUCUGUUCUCACAAGAGUGAUAUCUUGUGGCCAGUCUACGGACCGGCGAUAUCGAUCACUAUUAUUUUUGCAUCCGUUCUCGCUCGUUUUCUGACUUGUCAGAACGGCGGGAAGCUGGUGGCUGGGUAUUACACUGUCUCCCAGACGCCGCGCAUUG